RNAcentral lists this ribosomal RNA (454 nucleotides) under Sceloporus cryptus. RNAcentral describes it as "partial 16S ribosomal RNA". It matches the Rfam family "Bacterial large subunit ribosomal RNA", at positions 1923 to 2574 of the family's 2925-position model. The record is from RNAcentral. Lineage: Eukaryota; Metazoa; Chordata; Lepidosauria; Squamata; Phrynosomatidae.
UUCAACGGCCGCGGUAUCCUAACCGUGCAAAGGUAGCGUAAUCACUUGUCCCUUAAAUAGAGACCCGUAUGAAUGGCUAAAUGAGGAUAAAUCUGUCUCCUUUAACAAGUCAGUGAAACUGAUCUACCAGUACAAAAGCUGGUAUAACCCCAUAAGACGAGAAGACCCUGUGGAGCUUUAAAUUUAAGCCAAGCAGCAAAACAAGUACAGCCCAAUGGUUAAAAAUUUUAAGUUGGGGCGACUUCGGAAAAAACCAAAACUUCCGAGCAUAAGACUCUGUCUUACCAAGACCAACAAGUCAAAGCUAAAACUUGACCCAGUACAACUGAUCACCGAACCAAGUUACCCCAGGGAUAACAGCGCAAUCUUCUUCAAGAGUUCAUAUCGACAAGAAGGUUUACGACCUCGAUGUUGGAUCAGGACACCCAAGUGGUGCAGCCGCUAUUAAAGGUUC